This is a long non-coding RNA of Ornithodoros turicata, 268 nucleotides long. RefSeq lists it as uncharacterized. The transcript has 3 exons. The record is from RefSeq and is a predicted model, not a curated record. Lineage: Eukaryota; Metazoa; Arthropoda; Arachnida; Ixodida; Argasidae.
UCUUAUCAUCCGGCAUUCUAAUCAUGUGUUUUCAAGAAUGCAUUUACAGAUAUGGAAAGAAGAGCCUGUGGUGACUGAUGUCUUUAAUUUUGUGUGACAUAGGCAAAUGAUGGCUCGUGGUGAGCCAUACCCUGGAGGCAGAGCAGCUCGUGCCGUUCGUGAGAGUUUCGCUGGAGCGUGGUAUGCAGGAUGCACACGUGGAGGAUUCAUCUUUCACAUCAGAUGAUGAGUGAGUGUCCCCUCUUAACAGCUGCCAAGGAAACUGUAC